Gavialis gangeticus (Gharial) is the source of this 2467-nucleotide RNA transcript. It is a transcript of the gene named solute carrier organic anion transporter family member 1B3-like, with no coding region annotated. The record is from RefSeq and is a predicted model, not a curated record. The transcript has 14 exons. NCBI's taxonomy places the organism in Eukaryota, Metazoa, Chordata, Crocodylia, Gavialidae.
GAUUGCUCAGUUUUUCAACAGUUUGUGUGAUGGGAUAGCUGCUUUUCUGCUGCAUACAUAAUCUAGGUAAUCAAGUAUAAAAACAGAAAUUAUGAAAAUGGAAAUUGGAUCAGAUAAUGUUGAUGACUCAAUCCAGGAAGCAGAACCUACCCAACCUCUGGAUGAUGGAGCAAUCAGCCAACCACCAGUCAAAAAGAAAACUUCCUGUUGCACUGGUUUAAAGGUGUUUUUGGCUGCUUUGUCAUUCACCUACUUAAGUAAAACCUUAUCUGGAACCAUUAUGAAAAGUUCCAUCACACAGAUAGAAAGAAGAUUUGACAUUCCCUCCUCUAUAGCUGGCUUAAUUGAUGGAAGUUUUGAGAUGGGUAAUUUGUUGGUGAUUGCAUUUGUAAGUUACUAUGGAGCCAAAAUUCACAGACCAAAAGCAAUUGCUCUUGGAUGUUUCAUUAUGUCUGCUGGAAGUAUUUUAACAGCAAUGCCUCAUUUCUUCAUGGGAUAUUACAAGUAUGAGACAACACUGACUGCAAUGUCAUCAGUCAACUCAACUUCAAGCAUCAAUCCCUGCUUAGUGGAUCAGAAAGAUAUUGGAGUCAGUGAAACCUUAAUAGAACCUGAUCCAGGUUGUAAAAAAGAAGCAUCAUCAUACAUGUGGAUUUACGUCUUCCUGGGAAACAUGUUACGUGGAAUUGGGGAAACACCAAUAGCACCACUGGGAAUUUCUUACCUUGAUGAUUUUGCUAAAGAAGAGGAUGCUCCUUUAUACAUUGCAAUUUUGCACACAAUAGCAAUGAUUGGUCCAAUGCUUGGUUUCCUGUUGGGAUCACUGUGUGCCAGACUGUAUGUGGAUAUUGGAUUUGUGGAUCUAGGCAGCAUCACCAUAACACCAAGAGAUUCCCGUUGGGUGGGUGCAUGGUGGCUUGGUUUUAUCAUAGCUGGAGUAAUUGCCCUCAUAUCUGCCAUACCGUUCUGUUUCCUGCCAAAGAGUCUGAAAAAGCCAGAGGAGGAAAGUAAUGACAAAGCUUCAUCUGAUCUCUCCAACAUUAAGGAAGACAACAGUGGGAAGCACAGCCCUAUAAAACAAAAGCCAAUGAAGUCCUUAGCAACUUUGAAAGAUUUCUUUAUUUCUGUGAAAGCAGUAUUGGGUAACCGAAUAUACUUCGUAUUUUUGUGCUCUGUACUGUUACAGUUCAAUAGCUUUGUUGGUUUCUUGACUUACAAACCAAAAUACAUGGAACAGCAGUAUGGUCAGUCAGCAUCAAAGUCUAACAUCGUAACAGGAUUAACUUCCUUACCUGCUGUGGCCAUUGGGAUUUUCUUAGGAGGACUUUUAAUGAAAAAGUACAAAUGGGGCUUGGUUGGCGCUACAAAAUUUGGAUUUGGUAUUUCAUUUUUUGCUUUCCUUAUAGGCCUGCUACAAUUUUUUGUGGGCUGUGAAAACCAUGUAGUGGCUGGACUGACAGUGUCCUAUGAUGGGACACCAGUUGCAUAUGGUGAAAACACUGUAUUUUCUUCCUGCAACUCGGAUUGCAAAUGUGCCUCAAACCAGUGGGAUCCAGUCUGUGGAGACAAUGGAAUCACAUAUAUAACAGCUUGUCUUGCUGGCUGCAAGGCUUCAACAGGCCAUGGAAAGAACACAGUGUUUCAUAAUUGUAGCUGCACUGAAGUUGCAGGUUUGCUAUCAGGAAAUACUUCGGUAACUUUGGGACACUGUCCAAAGAGUGAUGAUUGUUACAGGAAGUUUAUUUAUUACACAGUCAUACAAGUCAUAAGUGCUUUUUUCUAUGCUUUAGGAGGCACCCCAACGUAUAUGAUUACAUUUAGGUGUGUUCAGCCAGAGCUAAAAUCUCUUGCAGUUGGUCUGUAUGUACUCAUCAUGAGGGCCCUAGGUAAGAGAAAUUACUCUAACUAUAUGGCUUUAAAUGGUGACUCUCGGAAAACUGUAAAAGUCUAAAACAGUAAAUUAAUAAAAUGUGGUAAAUAACUGUUAUCAUGAUGUUCUAACUUUUAUAUCAAAAGCUACAUCAAAUUAGGAAAGUCUGUUUUCAUAGUUUGCUAAGGGUCAGAUCAGUUAGGUUUGGAUGUUCAUAAGGAGGUCAUCAAGCCUGUGCUCUUACAGGACAAUAGUCUCUAGUUAGAAUAUAAACUUGUUUGUAAGAGAUGUUUAUCUGCAAAAGAGUGCAAGAUAACAGAGCUUCCACAAUUGUGGUUUGACACAAGUUUGAAAUCUUGAUCCUGUUGAAGAUCAUGUCAAAACUUGCAUUGGAUUCAACAAGCCCAAGAUUCCACUCUAGGUGUGUCAUCUUUUUUGAAGGUACAGAACAGUGUAGGGCACAGCCAGCCAAAACAUGGGAUUCAAAUGCCAAGUGCACCCUUUGAAAAGCUGGAAUUCCAGCCCCAGUUUAUUUUGGUGCAUUGAUAGAUAGGACUUGCUUGAAAUGGGGAAGAGGAAGCUGUGGGCAACGAGGAG